AUUGAACGCUGGCGGCAUGCUUUACACAUGCAAGUCGAGCGGUAACAGGCCUUCGGGUGCUGACGAGUGGCGAACGGGUGAGUAAUGCAUCGGAACGUACCCAGAGGUGGGGGAUAACGCAGCGAAAGCUGUGCUAAUACCGCAUGUGAUCUGAGGAUGAAAGCGGGGGACCGAGCAGCAAUGUUUGGCCUCGCGCCUUUGGAGCGGCCGAUGUCGGAUUAGCUAGUUGGUGGGGUAAAGGCCUACCAAGGCGACGAUCCGUAGCUGGUCUGAGAGGACGACCAGCCACACUGGGACUGAGACACGGCCCAGACUCCUACGGGAGGCAGCAGUGGGGAAUUUUGGACAAAGGGCGCAAGCCAGAUCCAGCAAUGCCGCGUGCGGGAAGAAGGCCUUCGGGUUGUAAACCGCUUUUGGCAGGAACGAAACGGUGUCCGCUAAUACCGGGCGCUAAUGACGGUACCUGCAGAAUAAGCACCGGCUAACUACGUG
This 492-nucleotide ribosomal RNA is filed under the name uncultured bacterium. Its description in RNAcentral is "partial 16S ribosomal RNA". It matches the Rfam family "Bacterial small subunit ribosomal RNA", at positions 29 to 507 of the family's 1533-position model. The record is from RNAcentral.